ACUGAAUAGAUACCCGGGUAGUCCACGCCGUAAACGAUGAGUGCUAGAUGUCAGGAGCUUUGACCCUCUUGGCGUCGUAGCUAACGCAAUAAGCACUCCGCCUGGGGAGUACGGCCGCAAGGCUAAAACUCAAAGGAAUUGACGGGGCCCGCACAAGCGGUGGAGCAUGUGGUUUAAUUCGACGCAACGCGCAGAACCUUACCUGGGCUAGAAAGCGCAAGAACCUCGGUGAAAACUGAGGGUGCCUCGGGUAACGUGUGAUUAGGUGCUGCAUGGCGUGUCGUCAGCUCGUGUCGUGAGAUGUUGGGUUAAGUACCCGCAACGAGCGCAACCCUUCGCUGUUAGUUACCUAUCAUUAAGUUAGGGUCGACUCUAACAGGACUGCCGACCUUAAGUCGGAGGAAGGUGGGGAUGACGUCAAGUCCUCAUGGCCCGUUA
RNAcentral lists this ribosomal RNA (438 nucleotides) under uncultured bacterium. Its description in RNAcentral is "bacterial SSU rRNA". It matches the Rfam family "Bacterial small subunit ribosomal RNA", at positions 772 to 1205 of the family's 1533-position model. The record is from RNAcentral.